Molecule: ribosomal RNA, 494 nt
Filed under: Coriobacteriaceae bacterium M32
Lineage: Bacteria; Bacillati; Actinomycetota; Coriobacteriia; Coriobacteriales; Coriobacteriaceae
Description: bacterial SSU rRNA
Rfam family: Bacterial small subunit ribosomal RNA
Source: RNAcentral
AGAGUUUGAUCCUGGCUCAGGAUGAACGCUGGCGGCGCGCCUAACACAUGCAAGUCGAACGGCACCCACCUCCGGGUGGAAGCGAGUGGCGAACGGCUGAGUAACACGUGGAGAACCCGCCCCCCUCUCGGGGAUAGCCGCCGGAAACGGCGGGUAACACCCGAUGACCCCGCAGCGAGGCAUCUCGCAGCGGGCAAAACCCAGGUGGAGGGGGAUGGCUCCGCGGCCCAUCAGGUAGACGGCGGGGUGACGGCCCACCGUGCCGACAACGGGUAGCCGGGUUGAGAGACCGACCGGCCAGAUUGGGACUGAGACACGGCCCAGACUCCUACGGGAGGCAGCAGUGGGGAAUCUUGCGCAAUGGGGGCAACCCUGACGCAGCGACGCCGCGUGCGGGAUGGAGGCCUUCGGGUCGUAAACCGCUUUCAGCAGGGACGAGACAAGACUGUACCUGCAGAAGAAGCCCCGGCUAACUACGUGCCAGCAGCCGCGGU